ACAAUUCUAUUUUUUCAUUAUUUAUACAUAUAUAUUCUUUUUAACCAUGCAUUUCCUCGUCAGAAACAAUUCCAAUUUGCAAAGAUUAAUCACAUCAAAAUUCUCAUAGCCAUCUCGUAACUUUAUUCAACAAUUUUCCCAAACGGUCUGUCAUUUGCAUAUCUACUAUAACCUACCCCAUUUCAUCGUUCUAAAACGUGCGUCUAUAAACCCAACCGCAAGCCUCGCAAGAUCCUCCCAUCCGCUAUAGACUUCUGCUUUCCUCCAUCCAGAUUAAAAUCAUCGCGUGACGGUCUCCAAAAAUACCGAAAAACUAAAUCUUAUCACAGUAAACGUUUAUAUACAACUGUUGAUUACAUGUUAAAUCAAUAGUGUGUAACUUUAUUAAUAGUUUCGGGAUAUGGCAAGUUUGUUUCUUUUUAUAUAUUAAAAAAAAAAAAAGAACGCAGAAACACGGUUACAUUCAACCGUGCGAUAGGGUGGUCCGCCAUGACCAGAUCACGCGGUGAACGCGCAAAGUAUAUCUGGGAAGGAUGCGCGCGCAGCUAUCCGGAUCCAUCGAGCUUUAUACGAGCCCAUUAUACGUCGUUAUAUACUCGAUACGUACACCUGACUGAUUUCGUACGUGCUCUCUUUUUUUUUUCGUGCACUCGAUUCGAGCGAUUUUCAGAUAUUUUUUACACACGUGCACUUAUGUUCGAUGUAUGUAACGACGUACGUAACGGAUAUAUAUGACGAAAAAUCGGUAUAUGGAUAUAUCGUUCCAACGAAGUGUAAAAAUGCGUACAGAAUGAGCCAUCGAAUUGAGGUUAUGAUGGAUUGUGUGUAACAUCGUAGAUGACGAUUAAUCGUGGAUUAGAGAGAAGAAGAGUGAUAUAUUAUGGGAUAAUACAGUGGGUGGAAUACAAAAGAGGAAAAAAUCCCUUACGAGAUGUUUUCCUGCAUCGCAAUGAUGAAAUAUAAAUGAAAAGUAAAAGUUAAUACCGCGUAAAAUAAAACUGUUGCUAUAAAGAA
Apis mellifera (honey bee) is the source of this 1014-nucleotide long non-coding RNA. RefSeq lists it as uncharacterized. The record is from RefSeq and is a predicted model, not a curated record. The transcript has 2 exons. NCBI's taxonomy places the organism in Eukaryota, Metazoa, Arthropoda, Insecta, Hymenoptera, Apidae.